Psammomys obesus (fat sand rat) is the source of this 1324-nucleotide long non-coding RNA. RefSeq lists it as uncharacterized. The transcript has 3 exons. The record is from RefSeq and is a predicted model, not a curated record. NCBI's taxonomy places the organism in Eukaryota, Metazoa, Chordata, Mammalia, Rodentia, Muridae.
GCCUGGACUCUGGUCAGGGCGGGGGUGCUCCUGGUGUGGUUGCGGAGGCGAGGUCGGCAGCAUCGUAGGCCAUGGUCCGAGAGCCUUCUCUGGGAAAGUGGAUAGGGGCGGGGGAGAGAUGGAGAGAGAUGGAGAGCGCUGUUAGGCCCAGCCUGGUCCGCAGCCCGGAGGGUUGGACACUUCGGGCUCACUUCGCGCAGCCCCACACACCGGAGCCCCACGCCACACGGACCCAGUCCCCACGCGGAGCUUCAGGCUGUUCUAAAGAGAACUAAACGCCUGGGUUUAAAUGUCACUUUUCUUUCACAAUCCUUCAUCAGUCAUCUUGAUCACCCUUGCCUCCACUCAGAAUCGUUUUUGUUUUGUUUUUGCCCUAAUUAACCUCGGAUCAUUAUUGCUUCCAAUGCUUCUGGACCAUGUCAGAGAAGAAGAUGAGCUGGGAAAAGGCCUUCAGUUAAUUUCAAAUAGAAAAGUGCAUCAUUCAAAUCACUCCGUAAUGGGUUAAGAUUUCAUCACGUGUGAUUAUUUGCAGACUCGGGAAAGGAAUUCCCAAGGGAGGUGAAAAAAUUGGCCUAAGGAAUAGUGGAAUUAAAAAAAAAAAAAAGCUUUCCUGGACUCCGCACACAAACUAUCAUAUGUGAGGUCGGAGCUUGUGCACAUGUCAAAGCUCUGAGGUGACAGGUGCCUAGAGAAACAGAGGCCACACUCCAGGUGUCCACUGGGGACACCUGCUCUGUGCCAUCCACACCUGGCCACUUCGCUCUGCCUCCUCCCUCAGAGCUAAGUUGGCUCUAUCUUGUUUUUCCCCACUGACAUCCAUCAGCACUGAUUGUAGGUUUUGUAACACACAGCUUCUUGGGGCUACGAGCAAGGGAAGAGUGGCAGGGGGUUCUCCAGGUAUGUUAGAGUAAGCAGAGCAACCGGCCUACCUGCCUGCGGGGACCGAGGUGGGAGGGAGAGAGGGGCCGCGAAGCAGUAAAUGUAUAGCUUUGGCAGGGCCUGGUCACAAGAACAGAGUUCUAGGCCGCCUAGUAAUGGAAUUUUGGCGGUCAAUAAUGAAACAGCAGGUGUUCCAUUAUGGAAAGAGGUAACGAACACAUUAGUGACCGAAAAAUGUUUCAAAAGAGAAUACAUAUAUUUUCAUGUUUGCUAUUAGGGUUGUGAAUAGUCAACGAAGACUAGACAUCUUGAAGUAAAUUAGAAACAGUCGCCUCUGGGAAAUGGACUCCGGUAGAAUUGAUACGUUCCCUUCCCCACUUUUUACAUUAAAAUGCAUUUGUUUAUUUACUUUUAUGUGUGUGGGGGUGUUUUGCCUGCAUGUAUG